This 76-nucleotide transfer RNA is filed under the name Candidatus Saccharimonadota bacterium. Its description in RNAcentral is "tRNA-Lys". It matches the Rfam family "tRNA". Rfam says of the family: Transfer RNA (tRNA) molecules are approximately 80 nucleotides in length. Lineage: Bacteria; Candidatus Saccharimonadota. RNAcentral also lists the same sequence under 1 other name. The record is from RNAcentral.
GGGCCGUUAGCUCAGUGGUUAGAGCACCCGCCUCUUAAGCGGGGUGUCACAGGUUCGAAUCCUGUACGGCCCACCA